Non-coding RNA from Gossypium raimondii (Peruvian cotton), 307 nucleotides. It matches the Rfam family "Plant signal recognition particle RNA". NCBI's taxonomy places the organism in Eukaryota, Viridiplantae, Streptophyta, Magnoliopsida, Malvales, Malvaceae. The record is from Rfam.
GCUGAGCUUGGUAACGCAAGCCUGUGACCUAAGUAGGAGCAUUAAGGAGCUGGAACGUGGGUUCCUUUCAUUGAGCUGGAUCCGAUGUGGUCUACAUCUGACUUGCCCAUACCAAGCCGAAAGUUGGGCCGAGGGUACUGAGCGAAAGCUUCGGUUCUCGUGGUUCUUAGAGUGGAGAGUACUGCGUGAGGCUGGUUUCACAGAGCAGCGACUAUCUCCCCCUUUCGGCAGUGGUAGGAUGACAAGUCGGUUCCACUUGGAUCCAUCAUAGCUCGGUGAGUUGACCUCAAACUGAACCAUCACUUUU